AAUUUACUAUGUAAGGUGAAGGUCGAUAGAUGGCAGAAGAAUAGAUAAGAAUCUGAUUGGUUAAGAAAAAGAGUUUUCUUUUCUAGAUGAACAAUUAAAUUUUCUUGAGAAUGUUAAUUGUUUUGAUUGUUACUUCUAUUUAUUUAAAUUAAUUGUGAUGGUUAAUUGUGUUAUUCUGUUAAUGAGUUAAGGUUUUACGAUGGUGUUUAGUCUUGAUGUUUAUUGAGAAAUGUAAAGUUAAGAAUUUGUUUUUGAUUUGAUUAAUUUGGUGAGGUUAAUCAACUUACUUGGUUAAAUCGGUUAUAUCGGAAUCAACUAGAUCAUCUUCGGUUGACCAGAAUAAUCCAAAAGAUUAUGGAGAAACGUUCAAUUAGAAUGGAUAAACAAUCAACACCUAAUUUUUCUUAUUAAUCUUUGAGAUUUACCUUUUCCAUUGGCUCUUCAUCUGGGAAGCUCUUGAUCUGUAACAUUCCUGUUGAAUCUUUUCAUAUUCUUUCUUUGGUAUGGUGACAAUUAUCCAAACAGCAUCUUUGGCCAUGGUGAUGAUGAAUUACAAUGAAUACAAUGGACAAGACUAACUAAUUCCAGUUAAUUACCAGGGAACACACACAAUCCAAUUAAAGAAAUUAAUAUCAAAAAACAACCCAAUUGACACAGAAAUUGAUUUGAUGACACGUUUGAUUGGAUUUUUGAUUGAAAAUAUCGUAUCAGAAUUUUACUUGGACACAAUUAAAUACAUUGUUGCCAUUUUUGACAAUUGAUUAGCAAUAUAAUCAAACCAAAUGAAAUUCACGUA
This is a long non-coding RNA of Panonychus citri (citrus red mite), 796 nucleotides long. RefSeq lists it as uncharacterized. The transcript is spliced from 4 exons. Lineage: Eukaryota; Metazoa; Arthropoda; Arachnida; Trombidiformes; Tetranychidae. The record is from RefSeq and is a predicted model, not a curated record.